Long non-coding RNA from Rattus rattus (black rat), 737 nucleotides. RefSeq lists it as uncharacterized. The record is from RefSeq and is a predicted model, not a curated record. The transcript has 2 exons. NCBI's taxonomy places the organism in Eukaryota, Metazoa, Chordata, Mammalia, Rodentia, Muridae.
GGAGGAGGAGGAGGAGGAGGCGGCCCGGCAGCAGCGGGGAUCGUUGUCGGUAACCAAAGGGGCUCUGGUGAAUUUCAGCCUGAAAAGUCAAGCUGGAGCUCCGGCUUAGGGUAGGGACUUCCACUCCUAGGGACCUCGGCACGGAUCAGAAUAAAGUCCUGCUGCGCCGGCCAGAGGCGAAAGUGGAAUGUGGAUUGCAAUCUGGAAGAAUUCGGCUGGACCCCGAGAAGGUCCUGGAGUCCCCAGCUUUGGACCACUCAUGCUCGAUCCAGCGCGUUCCUGAGUGUGAGUGCGCGUGUCCUUCCAGUUCCCUGAUGCGCGCCCAAGGCCCAGUAUUCCCACCACCACAGCAUGCAAAGGAUCUCUGGCCAAAGCCGACCUCUCAGCAUCAACAACACCUCCCCUUCUCUCGCCCACCACAUCUCCUACACAGUGAAAGUGUUUUGUUGUUGUUGUUGUUGUUGUUGUUGUUGUUGUUAAGGAGAGAAUGAGAGAGAUAUUUAUGCACAUAUUUAUCCCUCUAAUUAUAGGAAUUAAUCCUCUUAUGACUAAAAGGUAACGUGGAAGGACGUCCUUUUGAUGUGGAAAAGCACCAUUUGUGACUCGCAUUCAGACUGAUUAAGGAAUAAUUGUUGUUAAACGCUUUGCAAGAGGAAAGUGUUUAAUUGAGGGGCAUUCGUAAUUUUACGGCUUAGUGCAAAAUUAAGCGUAAUUAAAAACUCAGAAAUUCCAACUGA